CAGUCGCCACGGUAACACCGAGGGUGCGAGCGUUAAUCGGAUUUACUGGGCGUAAAGCGUGCGUAGGCGGCUUUUUAAGUCGGAUGUGAAAUCCCUGAGCUUAACUUAGGAAUUGCAUUUGAUACUGGGAAGCUAGAGUAUGGGAGAGGAUGGUAGAAUUCCAGGUGUAGCGGUGAAAUGCGUAGAGAUCUGGAGGAAUACCGAUGGCGAAGGCAGCCAUCUGGCCUAAUACUGACGCUGAGGUACGAAAGCAUGGGGAGCAAACAGGAUUAGAUACCCCAGUAGUCCCUGUCUCUUAUAC
This 301-nucleotide ribosomal RNA is filed under the name uncultured bacterium. Its description in RNAcentral is "partial 16S ribosomal RNA". It matches the Rfam family "Bacterial small subunit ribosomal RNA", at positions 509 to 807 of the family's 1533-position model. The record is from RNAcentral.